ACUCCUACGGGAGGCAGCAGUGGGGAAUCUUGGACAAUGGGCGCAAGCCUGAUCCAGCCAUGCCGCGUGAGUGAUGAAGGCCCUAGGGUCGUAAAGCUCUUUCGCCAGGGAUGAUAAUGACAGUACCUGGUAAAGAAACCCCGGCUAACUCCGUGCCAGCAGCCGCGGUAAUACGGAGGGGGUUAGCGUUGUUCGGAAUUACUGGGGCGUAAAGCGCGCGUAGGCGGACUGGAAAGUUGGGGGUGAAAUCCCGGGGGCUCAACCUCGGAACUGCCUCCAAAACUCCCAGUCUUGAGUUCGAGAGAGGUGAGUGGAAUUCCGAGUGUAGAGGUGAAAUUCGUAGAUAUUCGGAGGAACACCAGUGGCGAAGGCGGCUCACUGGCUCGAUACUGACGCUGAGGUGCGAAAGUGUGGGGAGCAAACAGGAUUAGAUACCCUGGUAGGAAAGCG
Molecule: ribosomal RNA, 450 nt
Filed under: uncultured bacterium
Lineage: Bacteria
Description: bacterial SSU rRNA
Rfam family: Bacterial small subunit ribosomal RNA
Source: RNAcentral